RNAcentral lists this ribosomal RNA (488 nucleotides) under uncultured bacterium. Its description in RNAcentral is "bacterial SSU rRNA". It matches the Rfam family "Bacterial small subunit ribosomal RNA", at positions 30 to 507 of the family's 1533-position model. The record is from RNAcentral.
AUUGAACGCUGGCGGCAUGCCUAACACAUGCAAGUCGAACGGAAACGAUGGGAGCUUGCUCCCAGGCGUCGAGUGGCGGACGGGUGAGUAAUACUUAGGAAUCUACCCAGUAGCGGGGGACAACUCGGGGAAACUCGAGCUAAUACCGCAUACGCCCUACGGGGGAAAGCAGGGGAUCUUCGGACCUUGCACUAUUGGAUGAGCCUAAGUCGGAUUAGCUUGUUGGUGAGGUAAAGGCUCACCAAGGCGACGAUCCGUAGCUGGUCUGAGAGGACGAUCAGCCACACUGGGACUGAGACACGGCCCAGACUCCUACGGGAGGCAGCAGUGGGGAAUAUUGGACAAUGGGGGCAACCCUGAUCCAGCAAUGCCGCGUGUGUGAAGAAGGCCUGCGGGUUGUAAAGCACUUUCAGUAGAGAAGAAAAGCCUAGGGUUAAUAACCCUGAGUCUUGACGUUACCUACAGAAGAAGCUCCGGCUAACUCCGUG